RNAcentral lists this small nucleolar RNA (104 nucleotides) under Lupinus albus (white lupine). Its description in RNAcentral is "Plant small nucleolar RNA R71". It matches the Rfam family "Plant small nucleolar RNA R71". From Rfam's summary of the family: R71 is a member of the C/D box family of snoRNAs containing the C (UGAUGA) and D (CUGA) box motifs. Multiple nearly identical copies of this snoRNA have been identified in Arabidopsis, and it is thought to function as a 2'-O-ribose methylation guide for 18S ribosomal RNA. Lineage: Eukaryota; Viridiplantae; Streptophyta; Magnoliopsida; Fabales; Fabaceae. The record is from Rfam by way of RNAcentral.
AUCUAAUGAUGGGGCAGCUUGCACACAACCUUUUAAAUCCCUCCCAAUACUCAUAUAAACUUUCUCCAUGUUAUUGUCUAAUCCCAGAAAUAUCUUUUCUAAUU